AUACGUAGGGAGCGAGCGUUGUCCGGAAUUACUGGGCGUAAAGGGCGCGUAGGCGGCGCUUCAAGUCGUCUGUCAAAUGGGAGGGCUUAACCCUUUUUCGCAGACGAAACUGGAGAGCUUGAGAAGCAGAGAGGCAAACAGAAUUCCUGGUGUAGCGGUGAAAUGCGUAGAUAUCAGGAAGAAUACCAGUGGCGAAGGCGGUUUGCUGGCUGCAUACUGACGCUGAAGCGCGAAAGCCAGGGGAGCAAACGGGAUUAGAUACCCUGGUAGUCCACGCUGUAAACGAUGUCGAUUUGGAGUCUGUGACCAUGAGUCGUGGGCUCCGGAGCUAACGCGUUAAAUCGACCGCCUGGGGAGUACGGCCGCAAGGUUAAAACUCAAAUGAAUUGACGGGG
RNAcentral lists this ribosomal RNA (395 nucleotides) under uncultured bacterium. Its description in RNAcentral is "partial 16S ribosomal RNA". It matches the Rfam family "Bacterial small subunit ribosomal RNA", at positions 523 to 918 of the family's 1533-position model. The record is from RNAcentral.